RNAcentral lists this ribosomal RNA (549 nucleotides) under uncultured bacterium. RNAcentral's name for it is "bacterial SSU rRNA". It matches the Rfam family "Bacterial small subunit ribosomal RNA", at positions 777 to 1320 of the family's 1533-position model. The record is from RNAcentral.
AAUAGAUACCCGGGUAGUCCACCCCGUAAACGUUGGGAACUAGUUGUGGGUCCUUUCCACGGAUUCCGGUGACGCAGCUAACGCAUUAAGUUCCCCGCCUGGGGAGUACGGCCGCAAGGCUAAAACUCAAAGGAAUUGACGGGGACCCGCACAAGCGGCGGAGCAUGCGGAUUAAUUCGAUGCAACGCGAAGAACCUUACCGAGGCUUGACAUACACCAGAACACCCUAGAAAUAGGGGACUCUUUGGACACUGGUGAACAGGUGGUGCAUGGUUGUCGUCAGCUCGUGUCGUGAGAUGUUGGGUUAAGUCCCGCAACGAGCGCAACCCUCGUUCUAUGUUGCCAGCACGUAAUGGUGGGAACUCAUGGGAUACUGCCGGGGUCAACUCGGAGGAAGGUGGGGAUGACGUCAAAUCAUCAUGCCCCUUAUGUCUUGGGCUUCACGCAUGCUACAAUGGCCGGUACAAAGGGCUGCAAUACCGUGAGGUGGAGCGAAUCCCAAAAAGCCGGUCCCACGUUCGGUAGUUGAGGUCGUGCAACUCGACCUCA